GGUGAGUAAUGCCUAGGAAUCUGCCUGGUAGUGGGGGACAACGUUUCGAAAGGAACGCUAAUACCGCAUACGUCCUACGGGAGAAAGCAGGGGACCUUCGGGCCUUGCGCUAUCAGAUGAGCCUAGGUAGGAUUAGCUAGUUGGUGAGGUAAUGGCUCACCAAGGCGACGAUCCGUAACUGGUCUGAGAGGAUGAUCAGUCACACUGGAACUGAGACACGGUCCAG
This 226-nucleotide ribosomal RNA is filed under the name uncultured Pseudomonadales bacterium. Its description in RNAcentral is "partial 16S ribosomal RNA". It matches the Rfam family "Bacterial small subunit ribosomal RNA", at positions 105 to 334 of the family's 1533-position model. The record is from RNAcentral. Lineage: Bacteria; Pseudomonadati; Pseudomonadota; Gammaproteobacteria; Pseudomonadales.